Molecule: ribosomal RNA, 465 nt
Filed under: uncultured bacterium
Lineage: Bacteria
Description: partial 16S ribosomal RNA
Rfam family: Bacterial small subunit ribosomal RNA
Source: RNAcentral
CCUACUGGUGGCAGCAGUAGGGAAUCUUCCACAAUGGGCGAAAGCCUGAUGGAGCACCGCCGCGUGGGUGAAGCAGGUCUUCGGAUCGUAAAACCCUGUUGUUAGAGAAGAAAGUGCGUGAGUGUAACUGUUCACGUUUCGACGGUAUCUAACCAGACAGCCACGGCUAACUACGUGCCAGCACCCGCGGUAAUACGUAGGUGGCAAGCGUUAUCCGGCUUUAUUGGGCGGAAAGGGAACGCAGGCGGUCUUUUAAGUCUGAUGUGAAAGCCUUCGGCUUAACGGGAGUAGUGCAUUGGAAACUGGGAGACUUGAGUACAGAAGAGGAGAGUGGAACUCCAUGUGUAGCGGUGAAAUGCGUAGAUAUAUGGAAGAACACCAGUGGCGAAAGCGGCUCUCUGGUCUGUAACUGACGCUGAGGUGCGAAAGCGUGGGUAGCAAACAGGAUUAGAUACCCGAGUAGAC